Molecule: long non-coding RNA, 2779 nt
Organism: Myotis daubentonii (Daubenton's bat)
Lineage: Eukaryota; Metazoa; Chordata; Mammalia; Chiroptera; Vespertilionidae
Source: RefSeq, a predicted model, not a curated record
CGCUGGAAGUCACGCUCCGUCACGAGGUGCGCGCCGCUGCGCACCUCUUCCGCGCAGGUCCGAGUAGGCGCGGACUUGGUCCUGGCGGGGCAUCCUGUGCGCGGCGCGAGUGCAUUUUUUUAGGGUCAUGCAGCCCCAUGAGAAACCCCGCUGUGAAGUGCUGUACGGCAAAAGGUCUUCACACCACAGAUAAUAUUAGGAAAGAAAGAAGUAUGUGCUGUUGCAGAAUAAACGGCCAGCCACAGCCAGAUUCAAUAGCCCAGUGUUCAGAGGACACCAAGCUCUGGUGCAGAGGCCACGACUGGAGGGAAGGACCUUGCCUCUGGACAAUCAGCCAGCAUCACUAGAACACACCUUCAAUUCUCCAGCUAUGGUGGCUCUGACAACCCAUACUCUAACUUUCUAAUCCUUCUUCUUCUUAGACUUUAGAACCCAAGGCUGGCAGGAAGCUGUAGACCAGCCAUACCAAUACAAUCCUUCCCCACCCCCCUUUUUUCAUUCAGAGAAGAAGGCAAUGCCAGAAAAAAAGGGAGUGACUUCCCCAAGGUGACUCACCUCAAGCCCUUUUUCAUAAUAGGAAGGAGCAUGAUGGAUGGAUGGAUGGAUGGAUGGAUGGAUGGAUGGAUGGAUGGAUGGUACUAUGGCCAGGACUAAUAUUCAAUAAUACUCUGUGUAGUUAUGGCAGAGGCUCUUAGUGCUCUGGGCCACCAUUGCAGCCAUGAAGUCUAUUUCCAUGCACACUCACAAUGCCCUACCUCAAGCACCUUACCCCUUUUUAUGCCUCAUAUCUUUCUCCAAAACUGCAGAACCUCACUCAGGCUAAAUGCAGAGAACCCUUGAAGUGCAGAGGAGUCAGCAUCCCCAGGGGUAACCCUCUGUGAUGAAGGUUGAAAAUCAGGACUUAAAUGCCCCAACCUUCGAAGGAACAGUUCUGAGAUGAAUUCUAUAUGAUUCCUCAGAGUUUCACCAGCAGGAUUGGGGCCCACCUAUCCACAGCGGUAAUCAACUCACACCCUUACUGGCUUUUCUCAGUUUCCUGUCUUGUUCUCCCCAUUCCCUCAGUUCUGCUUCCUGGGAUUCUCUUCCCCAAAAAAACUACCUUCACUCAAGUCCUGUCUCAGCUCUGUUUUUAGGAGAGCACAGAUUAAGACACUGGUCAAACUGGUCUACUUCUCGUCCCCUCAAAGGAAGAUGCUUUUAUUUACUUAUAUAUAUGUUCAUUCCUUCAUUCCAGGGGAAUUCAAGGCUCAGAGUGGUUAAAGAAUCUUCCCAAAUUCACGAGACAAUAAGUGACAUUGCUGUGCUGGGUGGAUACCAACUCAUAGGACAGUUCUCAAUCAUGGAAUCUCCUAGCUGGAAGGACUCUCAGAAUUAUCUAAUGUGGUGUUCUCACACUAUUACUACAUUCCCAAGAGUCUUUAUAGACUUUUAUUUCCUAAUCACUGCCCCCAUGAAAUACCACAGCUUUAUGGUAUAUUCGUUUAUGCGCUGUGCGCGUGCAUGUGUGUGUAUGCGCGUGUGUUUGGCUAGAUAUUCUUUUGGAGAUUGUUGACAUUUUUUUUCCUUUUCAGCACUUGAAAUAAUUGUUGAUGGAUUGAGUAACUUUGUAGAAUGAAAUCGUAAAAUAUAAACUAUUUUGAUUUAAUUCUCAAAACCCAAGUCACACAUAAAAGCAUUGAGAAAUAAACAUAAACAAUACCCACAAGGCAGCAAAUGACAGCCAACAGGCACGCACAAGCCAUCUCUGGUGAUAGGACUUUUUUUUUCCAGAGAAGAAGGGAGAGGGAGAGAGAGAUAGAAACUUCAAUGAUGAGAGAGAAUCAUUGGUUGGCUGCCUUCUGCACACCCCCUACUGGGGAUCAAGCUCGAAACUCAAGCAUGUGCCCUGAUCAGGAAUGCAACCGUGAUCUACUGGGUCAUAGGUCGACGCUCAACCACUAAGCCACAUCGGCCAGGCGGUGAUAGAAUUUUCUGAUGGAGCAAGUGAUGAAGAAGAAGCCCUCCAAUCACAGCCAUCUCUUCAACAUCAUUUUGUAGCACUGAUCUUGCAAGCAUUUUGUGCAUCUCCAUGAACUUAAUAUCAAUGGUGUUCAUUGGAUCAAAGAAACUCUGAUGAGGGAAAGUAACACUAAGGAAUAAGAAUUUUUAGGAUUGAGCUUUCGAGGGCCACAAACCAUGGUAAUAGCUAAGAUUUGUUUGCCUUCCGAAGAACCAAUUUCCACCCCGUUGGGCGUGAUGAGAAUGAAUGAGGUAGUCCAACAACAUGAGUUUACAGGUUAGAAGGACAUGGAGGGCGAGAGCAGGAACGGUCACACAGAGGGAACACACAGAGCUGGAAUGAACAGAGCCCAUUUUAUGUCACUCAAAAACCUCGCUCACCAGUCAAUAUGAAUUGGGCCUAGCCGCAGCCAGUCUUUGCGCUCCCUGGCUUUCCAUUUUUGUUGGGAAAAACAAUCUUUAUUUUGCUGUGGAAUAUACAGUGAUUAUUAAGCUGUGUUACAGUUGCCUCCUUGACCCAAUUUCCGCCGUGGCAUAUAAAAGCAGAGAGCUAAUUAUAUGAUAGCUAUUACCUGGAAAUUAUAUGUUUAUUGGUUUUCCACUAGCGGAUACUACUAUUUUUGUACUUUUCACUGUUCUGCUCAGUGACAGGAGUCACACUGUCUCUCUUCCAAACGUUCCUUCCAAUCUCACGAUUAGCAGAGGUUUUAAAUGGAGCACUGCCAGCAGCACGGCACACCUUGGGGUAGGGGAGGGAGCCUGUUGACUCAGUCCAUGCAGG